RNAcentral lists this microRNA precursor (241 nucleotides) under Daphnia magna. RNAcentral describes it as "Dma-Mir-375_pre stem-loop". Lineage: Eukaryota; Metazoa; Arthropoda; Branchiopoda; Diplostraca; Daphniidae. The record is from RNAcentral.
ACUCGAGCUGAUCGUAUAAGCCUGGAGUUUUUUAUCGUGUUUUGUGACACGAGAAAAGAUUUCUCCAACUUCUCUGGCAGUCUUUUUCUUUUUUUUCUCUCUUUUUUCUUCUCGCUUUACUCCAAACUAUAAGAUGAUUGCCAUCUUCCAAUUGAGAGAAGGGUGAGAGGAAGAAAGGGAGGGACGUCAGCAGUUGUUGCGGUCACAUUUUCGAUUCGGUUUGUUCGUUCGGCUUGAGUUA